RNAcentral lists this unclassified non-coding RNA (6000 nucleotides) under Hevea brasiliensis (rubber tree). Lineage: Eukaryota; Viridiplantae; Streptophyta; Magnoliopsida; Malpighiales; Euphorbiaceae. The record is from RNAcentral.
GUUUGUAAAUAAUUUGCAAGUGGAUUUCAAUUACUUAUGAAUCAAACCAAUCACCUCUCAAUAAAAAUUUUCCUCUUCCUUUAUACUUCUGCUCUAGCUCUCUGCUUGUGUCUCUCUGUGUAGCAAUGGACUCCUAUAUUCCUCUUCUGGAGAAAACCCGGGUCCCGCAACCCUCCCUCCAGAAAUUUGCGGUGGUUUCAAUAUUUACGAAGCUCCGCUCCGCCCCGGCUUAUCUCAACCCGGAAUCCGAUCCCGGAAGAGACGCCAUCUCUCAGUGCCUCCAUUCCUCAUCUCCAGCCGUCGUCGACCAAACGGUUCGGGAGCUCUGCCGCCUCGUCUCGGACUCUAAAUUGGAAGUCUCUCGCGGUUUGUUGGAGCUUCAGUCCGCACUCGAAGGCGCAGACUCGAAAUUUGUUGGUUUAUUUGUUAAAGGACUGGGAUUUCUCAUUCGGAUCGGGUUUCAGAGGAACCAUGGAUCGUGGCGGGUUGGUUCCCCUGUCAAUCACCCGUUUGUUAAGAUUUUAUCUUGCAGAACUGAGGUUCAGUCUGAAUUGGUACAGCAAGUUUUACUGUUUGUGGCACAGAAUAGGCAGCUGGAAAUGGCCCAAGUUUGUGAAUUCUUGAGACCUUUUCUGAAUUUUUCAAUUCUACGCAUACCCAUCUCAAGUUCUUCGUCGUCUUUGUUUGCAAGGCAUUUAAUAUCAUCAAUGGCUUCAUUUUGUUGUUCUUUCCCUAAUGAAGCAAUUCCAAUUUUAAAGCUGCUGAUGGGUUGCCUCAAGUAUUUGCCACACAGGAACUCAGAUGAACUUAGGGACUCUUAUUGUUUUUUGGAAUGCAUAGUGGAUGCGUAUUCUGUGGUUUUGCGACACUUGGUCCGGAUUGGAUUGCUGGUUGCUGAGGCUCAAUUGUUCAGUGUGGAAUUGUCAGAGACUAUACUUUCACUACUAACAUGUCUGCCCGGGCAUUCUGCUGGGGCUGAGCCAAUUGUUGAUCUAGUAAAGGGAUUGUUUGUCAUUCAGAAAGAUCUUACCUUGUGUUAUAUACGUGAAUUAUCAUCAACAGUGCUAUGCUUAUUUAUUAUCCUUAUUCAAUCUGAUCUUGAACACGAACAACUGUCUUUAUUGAGAUUCAUCAUCUUCCUUUUAAAGUGGAAAAGUGAAAAUGAAUUUGUUGAUAGAAUCAAAUGUGAUUUGAGUGAAGAGCUCUUAUUCGCCUUUCCUGUCAUCAGCCUUAUGUCAUCAACUUCUAGAUAUGUAAAAGGAGCAGCAGCUGAUUUACUUCUUGUGUUGGAAAAGCUUCUUGUACAGCUGCUCAGAGAACCAAGGAUUGAACUAGUCGCAGAAGGGAGAUUUCCAUCUAUCAGCUCACCUGGGUCUAUUGUUUAUAGACUUUUGCAGCAUCUGUGGUUUCAGGACCAAUAUUCACUGUCAGCUUCCUUCUUUGUAAAUUUUGCUUCUAGUGAUAAAACUGAUGCCAAAGGAAUGUAUAAUCAAGCUAGAUCUUGGGCUUCUCAAUUAAGAGAAUACUCUUUGCGGAUCAUUGACAGACGAAAAUCUUCCCCAUCCUUAUCUCAGUCUGAAGAAACUUUUUUAAAGGAAAUGCCCCCAUUGCUCAGUGCAAUUACUGGUGUUUUGGUGAUGCAUCAAUCAUUGGGAAACAUUGCGAUAGAUUUGUUGGCUACUAUUGGUGCUAUGGAUCCUAAGCUGGGUGUUCCAUUGUUGCUAGCCAUUCUAUUUUACUGUAACAUUUUCACAAGAAAUGAUAUUAAUUACCAGGAUAUGUUGCCAAAACUUUUGGCAUUGCUUCCAUCACUGGCUUCACAUUUUUUGAUGAUACCACUUAUAAUUCAGACUAUCCUGCCAAUGCUUCAGAAGGAUGGACCAUCAGUGUUGUAUGCUACAGGUGCUCGUUUGCUUUGGCAGACCUGGGCAAUUAAUGACCGUGCCUUUGGCAGUCUGCAGACAGUUUUACUCCCAAAAGGGUUCACUGAGUUCAAGUCAGAUAGAAAUAUCUGUGUAAGUCUGGCUACUUCAAUUCGAGAUGUUUGCAAGAAAAAUCCUGAUAGGGGUGUGGAUAUUAUCUUGUCUGUCUCGGCUUGCAUUGAGAGCAAAGAUCCUAUUAUUCAAGCACUUGGUUUACAAAGCCUGGCUCAUCUAUGUGAAGCUGAUGUAAUUGAUUUUUAUACUGCCUGGGAUGUCAUUGCAAAGCAUGUGCUAGAAUACUCCUCAGACCCAGUUCUUGCACAAAGCACAUGCCUUCUUCUUAGAUGGGGUGCUUUGGAUGCUGAAGCAUACCCAGAAGCUUCAAAGAAUGUUUUGCGAAUAUUGUGGCAUGUUGGUGCCUCCAAGCAUGUUAGUCAUGUGGUGCAAUGGGCAAAGACAAGAGCUGCUGCAUUCCAGGCCUUAUCCCAAUAUGAGGUCUCACAUAUAGAAAAAGGAAUUUCGGAUUUCAAGAGAGAGAACAUGGAGUUGCUUUUGUCUGAGUCAGAUAUCGACGUUCUCAAGGCCAUGGAAGGAUUUCAAGUCAAGAUCAUAACUCAUGAACACAUGAAUAGGCGAAGAUUGGUGAAGGAGAGAAAAGUCACGGGAAGCAAGAUUGAGAAAUUGCUGGAUGUACUUCCUCAGGUUCUCUUCCCUUCAGACAAAAAAAGUAAUGCUGGGAAGCUACCUGGUGCAGCUCUAUUAUGCAUUUCAUUUACCCCUAAAGAUGCGAACAGUCUAGGGAUUUCGAGAGCACUAGAUGUCCAUGUUGCAUAUGAGAAUGCAUUGGUGGAAAUAGCUUCUUCUUUUCAGCUCUCAAGAAACAUUUUUGUGGCCCUUCUUUCACUGCAAUCAUGGAAAACCUUCAUGCGCCGCUGGAUGAGGGCUAGUCUAUUAUCGCUUGAUGCAAAAGCUCCAUCUGUUGUAUUAGAUAAAACUUCUAAAGCUGCUAACAAUAUCCUCAGGGUUCUCUGUUCACUUGUGUUUUUCAUUACUUCUAUAGUACUGCCAGUCUAUUGUGGCUAUCUAGUACAAUUUUUUUUACAGAUUUUGUCAUGCAGAUUAUGAUGCGACUUGCUGAAGAAUCUAUCCCGAGAUCUGCUGAAAAUAUUGCCCUGGCUGUUGGUGCACUCUGUGUGGUCUUGCCUCCAUCUGCCCAUACUAUUAAAUCAACUGCUUCAAAGUUUCUAUUAAAUUGGUUGUUCCAGUAUGAACACGAGCAUCGUCAAUGGUCAUCUGCAAUAUCUCUUGGAUUGAUUUCAAGUUGCCUACAUGUAACUGAUCAUAAGCAGAAAUUUCAAAAUAUCACUGGACUCAUAGAGGUUUUGUGUGGCAGCAAAAGCACCCUUGUUAAAGGAGCAUGUGGGGUUGGCUUGGGUUUUUCAUGCCAAGAUCUUCUUGCCAGAGUUGAAACUGCUGACAGCAAUGACUUGGACAGAGAAAACUACAAGAUACAGGAGUUUGCUUUGCUAGGGAAGGUAGUUAGGACAUUACUUCUGAUGACAAGUCAGCUCAGUCAAACUUCAUAUGAUAUUCUAGAAGGUCUGUCUGCAUACUUCCCGUCCGGCAUUGGUGAUUUGGAACCCAAUAUGACUUCUGAGCUGUUUCUUGAGAAGCGUGAUGACUUGGAGGAAGAUAUUUGGGGUGUUGCUGGCCUUGUCCUUGGCUUGGGUAGCUCUGUUGGUGCAAUAUACAGAGCUGGGGCACAUGAUGUCGUGCUUAAGAUAAAAGACUUGAUUCUAUCAUGGACCCCUCAUUUGGACACUCUAGUAAUUAACUCUGGGCUUUCUGGUGAAGGAGCAGACAAAGUUUUAUCUGUAGGAUCCUGUCUAGCAAUUCCUGUUGUUGUGGCUCUCUGCCGGAGAGUGGAAUUGAUGAAUGAGAAUGAACUAGAUCAUCUAGUGAAUGGUUAUACUGAGCUUAUAUCUGAGUUACUGUCUGUGAAAAAGUCUGGUACCAUCCAUCAGAGCUUGUUGAUGGCAUCAUGCGUCGGAGCAGGAAGCCUGCUUGCCUGCAUUUUGAAUGAAGCUGUGCACCCUAUUAAAGUUGAACACAUCAAAGGCUUACUGGAAUUUUUUAGAAAAUGCUACUCUAAUCCUUACCAUGCUCUUGUUCAUAUGGGUGGGAUGCUUGGAGUAGUUAACGCUAUGGGAGCCAAUGCGGGGUUUUUAUUUCCUGGUUACCAUUCCUCUUCUUCAGUGAGGACUGGUUAUCAACAAAAGGAAUCUUCUUAUGUCUUGGGUCCUCUACUUUCAAGCCCUAUUUGUGAAUCACAUUUGACAGCAUUAAUUCAAGAAAUAUUCCUUGUUGCUCAAAAUUCUGAUGAUCUCCAAAUGAAACAAAUUGCAGCUUGGGCAGUUUCUUUCCUCAGAAAUCUUUUAUGGUCCAAGGAACUGCUAGAUGUUGACAAUAGUGUUCAGACUGAUGUUGCCAAUUCCAAAACGGUUUCUCGCAGUUUUUCUGAGGACUCAUUAGUUAUGAAACUAUCUUUGUGGCUAAUGCAUCUGAAUUAUUCUGCGGUAGGUAUCAUUCCACAUGUUGGCACAGUAUCAACUGUUUUAAGAUGUCUUUCAGGAGCUCCCAGAUUGCCAACCAUGGAUUGGGGAUCAAUCAUUAGACGUUGCAUGAGAUAUGAAGCUCAGGUUUCUGAGUUGUUACCACCAGAUUCAGCUCUUGAGAAGGGAAGCCUUAGGAAGGAUGCUCUUCAAUUCUCAAUUGCUCAUGCAAACCAAUUUGAUCCGCUCCUGACUUUCCUUGAUGAACUAUCUGACCUGUCCAGAUUCAGGACUCUUGAGCUGAAUCUACAGUCAUGUCUACUUGUACAUCUAGCUGACCUGACAAAAAUAUUCUCAGAUUCCCGGCUAGAGAAAUUAUUUGAUGAUAUUGCUGAGUUCUUUUCUUCAGAUUAUUCGCCCAAAAUGUAUAACUCUGAUCAGAAAAGGUCAUUGAGGAUAUCAUUCUGGAGGGGCCUCUGCCAGUGCCUAGAUGAAGAUUCGCUCCGCACUCCUGAAUACAUGCCAAAUGUUGAGAAGUGCAUGGAAGUGCUAUUUUCCUUGUUGCCUGCAUCAGAAGCACAUAUGCUAAACCCUGCACAAGAGUGGUAUGAGGUAGUUAAAUGUUUAGCAAAAGCUCGAGGGGAUUGGUUAUUAGAUUUCCUGCAGGUUCCACCGGUAAAUCUAGUACAAGGAGAUGAGCAAUUUAAUGAAGUCCUAAAGAAGAUUGUAGCAAAAGCCAAGCUAGUAAGGAUUGGCUCCAUCACAUUGACCGAGCUUGGAAGACUAAAAGCUUAUAUAUUGAACUCUAGAUCACAUGGUAUUUGGAAUGUGCUUGUUGAAGUUGUAGCAGCUUUGCAAUAUGCAGAGGGAAGUGUCAAAAGACACUGGCUUGUUGAUGCUGUGGAAAUUAGCUGUGUAUCCAGUUAUCCUUCGACGGCACUCCAAUUUCUUGGUCUGUUAUCUGGAAGCUGCUGCAAAUAUAUGCCUCUUCUGACUCUGGACCGAUUAACAGUAUUGAGCGAUCUACCAGUUACCCUUCAUUCUCUUUUGACAGAACCCAGUUGGGAAGUAGUUGCAGAAUCCAUUGUUUCUCAUCUUCUGGUAUCAACAGAACGCAUAUACCACUGGGUUACCGACAUGGUCCUCGAUGAUGGUGCUCCAAAUGUGCAACCUAUUGACGAAAGUGAAAAUGACAUGGUUGCUUUUCUAUUGCCUGUGAUGCAUCAGGUCUGUUUAUCUUUGAAAGAUUAUUUACCCCUGGAGAAGCAGCUUAGGCUUGCCAACAUUGUGGUCAAAUGAGGCUUGUUAAUAGGUCAUUUGCACAAGGGAAAAGCAGGAAACCUUCAAUGGCAGUUUUUUUUCCCUGCAAUUUGAGACCACUUUGAUUGUAAAUAUUCUUCUUCUUGUUCUUCUUCUUCCUCCGAUGAGGAGUAACUUUGUAUGAGUGACAAACUCAUCGUCACCGGCGGGCACGAUUCGAAAAAGAACUUCGAGUUUAUAGUCCCGCAGCAAGUCGUACUUAAAAU